UACGUAGGGUGCGAGCGUUGUCCGGAAUUACUGGGCGUAAAGCGCGCGCAGGCGGCCUUUCAAGUCAGGGGUGAAAUCCCAGAGCUCAACUCUGGAAUUGCCUCUGAGACUGUGAGGCUUCGAGUACGGGAGAGGUGAGUGGAAUUCCCAGUGUAGAGGUGAAAUUCGUAGAUAUUGGGAAGAACACCGGUGGCGAAGGCGGCUCACUGGCCCGUUACUGACGCUCAGGCGCGACAGCGUGGGGAUCAAACAGG
RNAcentral lists this ribosomal RNA (254 nucleotides) under uncultured bacterium. RNAcentral describes it as "partial 16S ribosomal RNA". It matches the Rfam family "Bacterial small subunit ribosomal RNA", at positions 524 to 776 of the family's 1533-position model. The record is from RNAcentral.